CCUACGGGAGGCAGCAGUGGGGAAUAUUGCACAAUGGGGGAAACCCUGAUGCAGCGACGCCGCGUGAGUGAAGAAGUCUUUCGGUAUGUAAAGCUCUAUCAGCAGGGAAGAAAAUGACGGUACCUGACUCAGAAGCCCCGGCUAACUACGUGCCAGCAGCCGCGGUAAUACGUAGGGGGCAAGCGUUAUCCGGAUUUACUGGGUGGAAAGGGAACGUAGACGGCUGGGCAAGUCUGAAGUGAAAGGCAGGGGCUUAACCCAUGAACUGCUUGUGAAACUGCAAUGGUAGAGUGCUGGAGAGGUAGGUAGAAUUCCAAGUGUAGCGGUGAAAUGCGUAGAGAUUAGGAGGAAUACCAGUGGCGAAGGCGGCUUACUGGACAGUAACUGACGUUGAGGCUCGAAAGCGUGGGGAGCAAACAGGAUUAGAUACCCUGGUAGUC
RNAcentral lists this ribosomal RNA (440 nucleotides) under uncultured bacterium. RNAcentral describes it as "partial 16S ribosomal RNA". It matches the Rfam family "Bacterial small subunit ribosomal RNA", at positions 338 to 795 of the family's 1533-position model. The record is from RNAcentral.